Papaver somniferum (opium poppy) is the source of this 1193-nucleotide long non-coding RNA. RefSeq lists it as uncharacterized. Lineage: Eukaryota; Viridiplantae; Streptophyta; Magnoliopsida; Ranunculales; Papaveraceae. The record is from RefSeq and is a predicted model, not a curated record. The transcript has 2 exons.
UUAUAUCUCAAUAUUAAGUAGCGCUCAUUUUUGGGCGAGGAAGUAGAAUUUCUGGGAUAUAUUGUAGUGAAAACUACAGCCACACCCAAUUUUACAUUUUUCUCCACUGUGAAACUCACGGGCGUAAAACUUCACGCGUGCACCCAAUUUUUGGAAAAAAAAUUACUACACGCAUAAUUUCUGAAAUUCUGUUUUUCAUUCUUUUCUCCAUGCCAGUAAGCUUAAAUCUGGUUUUUCCCUUUUAACCAAGGAACAACAACUACCACUCUAUUGUCCACCUCUAAUAAUUUCGGAUAAGAAAGACGACGAAGAGGGAUAACACAAAAAGGUUGGAUUCAAAUCAGUGGAAGUGCCAUUAAUCAAUUGUGAAAUGGGUUAAUGUUUAGGGGAAUGAAGAUGGAAAUUAACACCAACGAAUCUGAAAUCGACAAUCAACAAAUAUGGUGAUUUUUUGAUUGCCUAGGUUCGAUUUGAAAUUGUAUUUUGAGAUGGUAGUGAACUGUUGACGAAGAUUAAGGAAGAAAUUAGAAAUUUGGGAGGGGUACUGAAAUCGACAAUCAUCAAAGAUGGUGAUUUUUACUUGAAUUUUUUACAGGAAGCUGUUGCUUAAGAAAAUUUAGAAGAAGACGUUUGUCUCAUGAGAAUAAAUUGGAGUUCAUAUAAGAAUUGGGUUUUGAUGAGUUGGUAAGGACACCUGCAAAUUAUGGAACUAAAGGACACCUGGAAAUUAUGUUUAUAUAUGUCUAGCUUGGUAUUGAGCUUGACUAAUGCAAGUAUGUAUAUAUUCAAGUAUAACACAGUGUGUACACAGAGAUAGGGUGGUCUCUUUAUUUUUGGGGUCUCUUAGUCAGUUUGUUGGUGCUUCGAUCCUUUCCAGAUUCUUACUCCCUGUGUUAUUGUAUUUUCAUCAUUCAAUGUAUAGGGUAAUGUUGCACUAAUAGCAUUUUGGGAAGCAAAAUUUAGCAACCACGUACCCGGUAUUUGGAAAACGGCUUUGUGUGGUGCCAAUUUUUGGGCUUUAAAUUCCUGGGUGCUAUUUCGAAUGUCCGUAGGAGUCGCACAGGGUUAAUUAGGGGUUUGGUUAUAAACUUAGGAUUUUCUGUAUCAAAAAAAAAACUUAGGAUUUGAGCGUAUCGUGAUAUCUGUUAUCGACCUCUAGCAUAAUUUAUCUAUUUUAUCGAUAUUUGAUAUGA